UUAAGUUAGAAAGGGCGCACGGUGGAUGCCUUGGCACUAGGAGCCGAUGAAGGACGGGACGAACACCGAUAUGCUUCGGGGAGCUGUAAGCAAGCUUUGAUCCGGAGAUUUCCGAAUGGGGAAACCCACCACUCGUAAUGGAGUGGUAUCCAUAUCUGAAUACAUAGGAUAUGAGAAGGCAGACCCGGGGAACUGAAACAUCUAAGUACCCGGAGGAAGAGAAAGCAAAUGCGAUUCCCUGAGUAGCGGCGAGCGAAACGGGACCAGCCCAAACCAAGAGGCUUGCCUCUUGGGGUUGUAGGACACUCUGUACGGAGUUACAAAGGAACGAGGUAGAUGAAGAGGUCUGGAAAGGCCCGCCAUAGGAGGUAACAGCCCUGUAGUCAAAACUUCGUUCUCUCCUGAGUGGAUCCUGAGUACGGCGGAACACGUGAAAUUCCGUCGGAAUCCGGGAGGACCAUCUCCCAAGGCUAAAUACUCCCUAGUGACCGAUAGUGAACCAGUACCGUGAGGGAAAGGUGAAAAGCACCCCGGAAGGGGAGUGAAAGAGAUCCUGAAACCGUGUGCCUACAAGUAGUCAGAGCCCGUUAACGGGUGAUGGCGUGCCUUUUGUAGAAUGAACCGGCGAGUUACGAUCCCGUGCAAGGUUAAGCAGAAGAUGCGGAGCCGCAGCGAAAGCGAGUCUGAAUAGGGCGAAUUGAGUACGUGGUCGUAGACCCGAAACCAGGUGAUCUACCCAUGUCCAGGGUGAAGUUCAGGUAACACUGAAUGGAGGCCCGAACCCACGCACGUUGAAAAGUGCGGGGAUGAGGUGUGGGUAGGGGUGAAAUGCCAAUCGAACCUGGAGAUAGCUGGUUCUCUCCGAAAUAGCUUUAGGGCUAGCCUCAAGGUAAGAGUCUCGGAGGUAGAGCACUGAUUGGACUAGGGGCCCCUACCGGGUUACCGAAUUCAGUCAAACUCCGAAUGCUGAUGACUUAUCCUUGGGAGUCAGACUGCGAGUGAUAAGAUCCGUAGUCGAAAGGGAAACAGCCCAGACCGCCAGCUAAGGUCCCAAAGUAUACGUUAAGUGGAAAAGGAUGUGGAGUUGCUUAGACAACCAGGAUGUUGGCUUAGAAGCAGCCACCAUUUAAAGAGUGCGUAAUAGCUCACUGGUCGAGUGACUCUGCGCCGAAAAUGUACCGGGGCUAAACGUAUCACCGAAGCUGCGGACUGUUCUUCGAACAGUGGUAGGAGAGCGUUCUAAGGGCUGUGAAGCAAGACCGGAAGGACUUGUGGAGCGCUUAGAAGUGAGAAUGCCGGUAUGAGUAGCGAAAGAGGGGUGAGAAUCCCCUCCACCGAAUGCCUAAGGUUUCCUGAGGAAGGCUCGUCCGCUCAGGGUUAGUCGGGACCUAAGCCGAGGCCGAAAGGCGUAGGCGAUGGAUAACAGGUUGAUAUUCCUGUACCACCUCCUCACCAUUUGAGCAAUGGGGGGACGCAGGAGGAUAGGGUAAGCGCGGUAUUGGAUAUCCGCGUCCAAGCAGUUAGGCUGGGAAAUAGGCAAAUCCGUUUCCCGUGAAGGCUGAGCUGUGAUGGCGAGCGAAUUAUAGUAGCGAAGUUCCUGAUUCCACACUGCCAAGAAAAGCCUCUAGCGAGGUGAGAGGUGCCCGUACCGCAAACCGACACAGGUAGGCGAGGAGAGAAUCCUAAGGUGAUCGAGAGAACUCUCGUUAAGGAACUCGGCAAAAUGACCCCGUAACUUCGGGAGAAGGGGUGCUCUGUUAGGGUGCAAGCCCGAGAGAGCCGCAGUGAAUAGGCCCAGGCGACUGUUUAGCAAAAACACAGGUCUCUGCGAAGCCGUAAGGCGAAGUAUAGGGGCUGACGCCUGCCCGGUGCUGGAAGGUUAAGAGGAGCGCUUAGCGUAAGCGAAGGUGCGAAUUGAAGCCCCAGUAAACGGCGGCCGUAACUAUAACGGUCCUAAGGUAGCGAAAUUCCUUGUCGGGUAAGUUCCGACCCGCACGAAAGGCGCAACGAUCUGGGCACUGUCUCAACGAGAGACUCGGUGAAAUUAUAGUACCUGUGAAGAUGCAGGUUACCCGCGACAGGACGGAAAGACCCCGUGGAGCUUUACUGCAGCCUGAUAUUGAAUGUUGGUACAGCUUGUACAGGAUAGGUAGGAGCCUUGGAAACCGGAGCGCCAGCUUCGGUGGAGGCAUCGGUGGGAUACUACCCUGGCUGUAUUGACCUUCUAACCCGCCGCCCUUAUCGGGCGGGGAGACAGUGUCAGGUGGGCAGUUUGACUGGGGCGGUCGCCUCCUAAAAGGUAACGGAGGCGCCCAAAGGUUCCCUCAGAAUGGUUGGAAAUCAUUCGCAGAGUGUAAAGGCACAAGGGAGCUUGACUGCGAGACCUACAAGUCGAGCAGGGACGAAAGUCGGGCUUAGUGAUCCGGUGGUUCCGCAUGGAAGGGCCAUCGCUCAACGGAUAAAAGCUACCCCGGGGAUAACAGGCUUAUCUCCCCCAAGAGUCCACAUCGACGGGGAGGUUUGGCACCUCGAUGUCGGCUCAUCGCAUCCUGGGGCUGUAGUCGGUCCCAAGGGUUGGGCUGUUCGCCCAUUAAAGCGGUACGCGAGCUGGGUUCAGAACGUCGUGAGACAGUUCGGUCCCUAUCCGUCGCGGGCGCAGGAAAUUUGAGAGGAGCUGUCCUUAGUACGAGAGGACCGGGAUGGACGCACCGCUGGUGUACCAGUUGUUCUGCCAAGGGCAUCGCUGGGUAGCUAUGUGCGGACGGGAUAAGUGCUGAAAGCAUCUAAGCAUGAAGCCCCCCUCAAGAUGAGAUUUCCCAUUCCGCAAGGAAGUAAGAUCCCUGAAAGAUGAUCAGGUUGAUAGGUCUGAGGUGGAAGUGUGGCGACACAUGGAGCUGACAGAUACUAAUCGAUCGAGGACUUAACCAA
RNAcentral lists this ribosomal RNA (2928 nucleotides) under Bacillus velezensis. RNAcentral describes it as "23S ribosomal RNA". It matches the Rfam family "Bacterial large subunit ribosomal RNA". Lineage: Bacteria; Bacillati; Bacillota; Bacilli; Caryophanales; Bacillaceae. The record is from RNAcentral.